RNAcentral lists this ribosomal RNA (1458 nucleotides) under Staphylococcus aureus. RNAcentral's name for it is "partial 23S ribosomal RNA". It matches the Rfam family "Bacterial large subunit ribosomal RNA", at positions 1 to 1461 of the family's 2925-position model. Lineage: Bacteria; Bacillati; Bacillota; Bacilli; Caryophanales; Staphylococcaceae. The record is from RNAcentral.
GAUUAAGUUAUUAAGGGCGCACGGUGGAUGCCUUGGCACUAGAAGCCGAUGAAGGACGUUACUAACGACGAUAUGCUUUGGGGAGCUGUAAGUAAGCUUUGAUCCAGAGAUUUCCGAAUGGGGAAACCCAGCAUGAGUUAUGUCAUGUUAUCGAUAUGUGAAUACAUAGCAUAUCAGAAGGCACACCCGGAGAACUGAAACAUCUUAGUACCCGGAGGAAGAGAAAGAAAAUUCGAUUCCCUUAGUAGCGGCGAGCGAAACAGGAAGAGCCCAAACCAACAAGCUUGCUUGUUGGGGUUGUAGGACACUCUAUACGGAGUUACAAAGGACGACAUUAGACGAAUCAUCUGGAAAGAUGAAUCAAAGAAGGUAAUAAUCCUGUAGUCGAAAAUGUUGUCUCUCUUGAGUGGAUCCUGAGUACGACGGAGCACGUGAAAUUCUGUCGGAAUCUGGGAGGACCAUCUCCUAAGGCUAAAUACUCUCUAGUGACCGAUAGUGAACCAGUACCGUGAGGGAAAGGUGAAAAGCACCCCGGAAGGGGAGUGAAAUAGAACCUGAAACCGUGUGCUUACAAGUAGUCAGAGCCCGUUAAUGGGUGAUGGCGUGCCUUUUGUAGAAUGAACCGGCGAGUUACGAUUUGAUGCAAGGUUAAGCAGUAAAUGUGGAGCCGUAGCGAAAGCGAGUCUGAAUAGGGCGUUUAGUAUUUGGUCGUAGACCCGAAACCAGGUGAUCUACCCUUGGUCAGGUUGAAGUUCAGGUAACACUGAAUGGAGGACCGAACCGACUUACGUUGAAAAGUGAGCGGAUGAACUGAGGGUAGCGGAGAAAUUCCAAUCGAACCUGGAGAUAGCUGGUUCUCUCCGAAAUAGCUUUAGGGCUAGCCUCAAGUGAUGAUUAUUGGAGGUAGAGCACUGUUUGGACGAGGGGCCCCUCUCGGGUUACCGAAUUCAGACAAACUCCGAAUGCCAAUUAAUUUAACUUGGGAGUCAGAACAUGGGUGAUAAGGUCCGUGUUCGAAAGGGAAACAGCCCAGACCACCAGCUAAGGUCCCAAAAUAUAUGUUAAGUGGAAAAGGAUGUGGCGUUGCCCAGACAACUAGGAUGUUGGCUUAGAAGCAGCCAUCAUUUAAAGAGUGCGUAAUAGCUCACUAGUCGAGUGACACUGCGCCGAAAAUGUACCGGGGCUAAACAUAUUACCGAAGCUGUGGAUUGUCCUUUGGACAAUGGUAGGAGAGCGUUCUAAGGGCGUUGAAGCAUGAUCGUAAGGACAUGUGGAGCGCUUAGAAGUGAGAAUGCCGGUGUGAGUAGCGAAAGACGGGUGAGAAUCCCGUCCACCGAUUGACUAAGGUUUCCAGAGGAAGGCUCGUCCGCUCUGGGUUAGUCGGGUCCUAAGCUGAGGCCGACAGGCGUAGGCGAUGGAUAACAGGUUGAUAUUCCUGUACCACCUAUAAUCGUUUUA